GGGGCUAUAACUCAAUUGGUACAGUAUUUGCUUCACAUGCAAAGCCAUGGGUUCAAUCUCUAGCACCA
This 68-nucleotide transfer RNA is filed under the name Ictidomys tridecemlineatus (thirteen-lined ground squirrel). RNAcentral's name for it is "Spermophilus tridecemlineatus (thirteen-lined ground squirrel) tRNA". It matches the Rfam family "tRNA". From Rfam's summary of the family: Transfer RNA (tRNA) molecules are approximately 80 nucleotides in length. Their secondary structure includes four short double-helical elements and three loops (D, anti-codon, and T loops). Lineage: Eukaryota; Metazoa; Chordata; Mammalia; Rodentia; Sciuridae. The record is from Rfam by way of RNAcentral.